Long non-coding RNA from Homo sapiens (human), 820 nucleotides. Ensembl annotates it as lung cancer associated transcript 1. Its record names the gene LUCAT1. Lineage: Eukaryota; Metazoa; Chordata; Mammalia; Primates; Hominidae. The record is from Ensembl.
GACAAUGCCCAGACCUCCAGAAACCAUGUGUCAAGCUCGGAUUGCCUUAGACAGGUGCAAUUUAAGAACAGCUUUCAUCCUCUUUUCUCUCAUAUUGUCACACUAUGUGUUCUGACUUCUGGCUCCUUUCCUCACAAGAAGCUCACCCAGCUGGAACUCUUAUGGGACCUUGGCACCAGAGACCACAAAUUCCUCUUUGAAGUUUUCUAACAGCAACAAUGGUAUUUCUGACUUGGCUUUCUUGUAUUUCUCUCACGUUAACAAAAUUGGUUCAGCAUCUACCAUGGGCUACAUGCUGAGCUACAGAGUUUCGCUCUGUCGCCCAGGCUGGAGUGCAGUGGCGCGCGAUCUCGGUUCACUGCAAGCUCCACCUCCCGGGUUCACGCCAUUCUCCUGCCUCAGCCUCCUGAGUAGCUGGGACUACAGGCGCCCGCCACCACACCCAGGAAUCCAACUUGCUGUUUGCUAUCACAUGUGCUAUACAUGCUGUUGAUGAAACUGCUAAAGGGGCUGAAUGUGACUGACGUCUUUGGAAGGAUGAGACUUAGCGUGCCUGUACAGUUGUGUCCAAAUGCUGUCCUCAUCUCCCAAUGAAAAGCUGAACUAGGGCCAUGCCUGGGACAGACAGAGAAUGGCCUUCCAGCAGACAUGCCAAGAAGCAAGCCAGGGUCAGUGAGUGAAGAGGAGGGCAGGCCCAUUUGAAGCAACACAGUUUAUGAACAAAACCCAUCAGAAGAUGUCAGAAGAUAAGGAUUUUUGUCCUGAUGCUACACUUACCAGCUGUCCCUCAGUGUUCUACUUCUUAAAAAAAGAGAGGUUG